CGGGAUGGACGUACCUCUGGUGUACCAGUUGUCCUGCCAAGGGCAUGGCUGGGUAGCUAUGUACGGAAUGGAUAAGCGCUGAAAGCAUCUAAGCGCGAAGCCAACUUCAAGAUAAGAUUUCCCACCGUAAGGGUAAGACCCCAGAAAGACUAUCUGGUUGAUAGGUCGAAGGUGUAAGUGCAGCAAUGUAUUUAGCUUAUCGAUACUAAUAGGUCGAGGACUUGACCAA
This 229-nucleotide ribosomal RNA is filed under the name Clostridioides difficile. Its description in RNAcentral is "partial 23S ribosomal RNA". It matches the Rfam family "Bacterial large subunit ribosomal RNA", at positions 2693 to 2925 of the family's 2925-position model. Lineage: Bacteria; Bacillati; Bacillota; Clostridia; Peptostreptococcales; Peptostreptococcaceae. The record is from RNAcentral.